UGGGACACUUGGGGAGUAUGCAUGGUUUUCUACCAGUGUGUGUUACAAAAUAUAGCGUGGACACUUUGGAAUGUAUGGAAUGCAGAGUCCAAGUUUAGAGUAUUGCAGCACACAAACUGAUAUUACUUUCAACUCGAGUCUGCUCUCAAAUAUAUCAACUUAGUUUGGGAAAGAAAUCACCCCAGAACGAAAGCCAACAGCAGAAUGAAAAGAACGCUUUGGCAUGUGUGGAGCUUUCAACAGGGGAACUCAAACUAUUUAAAAAAAUGGAAUUAAACAGGCUGUGUUCUACAUUUUUUUAUCUGCUUUUUUUGUGCGUGCUUGUUUUGUACUUUUUGUAACAUUUCUAGAUUGCUGUGCCGUGUACAUU
Pelobates cultripes (western spadefoot toad) is the source of this 370-nucleotide non-coding RNA. The record is from the annotation of a GenBank genome assembly. NCBI's taxonomy places the organism in Eukaryota, Metazoa, Chordata, Amphibia, Anura, Pelobatidae.